UAAUUUUAUAUAAGAUUGAUUCUGUCUUUAAUUAAUUGGUUAAUUUAUAAUAUUAGAUAUAAGUUUUUGCGAGUGAUUAUUUAUCUAAAAGAUAAUUUUAUUUUAAUUGUAGUUUUUGAUUUUGUUAAAUCACAUAAUUGUGGAUUCAGUUAAAUUAUUUAGAACUGUUCAAAGUUGUGCCAGCAAACGCGGUUAUACAUCUGGUUCAAAUCAAUUUUUUUGGUAAUUAUUUAUUUUGUACUUUUGAGUUUUAUUUUAUUUAUUGAGGUGAAAUUUUUAAAAUAAAUUAUAUUUUCUAGGUUUAAGAUUAUAAGAAGUUUAGAAAAUAAACUAGGAUUAGAUACCCUAUUAUUCUAAAUGUAAAAGUUUGACCAUAAAAUUAAUAGUUAUGAUCUUUAAAUUAAAAGAAUUUGGCGGUAAUUUAGUCUUUUCAGAGGAACCUGU
RNAcentral lists this ribosomal RNA (444 nucleotides) under Cletus ochraceus. Its description in RNAcentral is "partial small subunit ribosomal RNA". The record is from RNAcentral. Lineage: Eukaryota; Metazoa; Arthropoda; Insecta; Hemiptera; Coreidae.